GGUCACAAUGCUGCUGCCUAGUCUAAAUACACAGAUACUGUGUCUUAUGUGCCACGAUGAAUAUUUUCUCCAUUAAAAUACGUGACCACCACAAAAGUGAGCUCUAACCCAGAAGGAAUGCAGGCCUGAAUUAGGAAACCUUUGAACAAAACCUUCAGGCUGAAAUGAGCAUUCAUCGUAGGGUGGAUGUGAGGCCAAAUCCAAGAUACAAGAUGGAAGAAAUCUUGUUCCAGAAUGGAGGAGGGACAAAGGGAGUGGAAAAUAACUUGAGUAACUAAAUCCAAUUCCUUUGCAAAUGUGGGGUCUCUAAGCUCUUACACUUGGCUUCAGUCAAGCCAAGGAGAGGUAGCCCCAGCUCUGUUUCAAUACAGUCCUGUCUCUGAAUGAGUCACACAAAUAAUGAUGCUUGGUUAAAAAAGAGACUUCCCUAUUUUUCCCCAGCAUGGAAAAGAUGGUGCCAUCAUCUUGGGAGUUCAGGAAGUUUCUGAAUUCAAGGAACAACAAAAGUUUCCUUGAUAGUGUACAGCAGCAAUCUCGAACGUGGUGACAGUAACUCAAAGCAGCCAUAGAAAACAAGUAGAAGUGAAGAACUGUCCCAUGGAACCCCAAUGUUGAGAUCCUAAGCUGGGCCUGGUGCUGCACAGUUCACAGUGCUGACAAAAGCAGGAAGUUGGAGGGAUGGAUUUCAAAGACCUGCCAGGAGCACACUGCCCUGGGAUACCGGGAGCAGGCGAAGGGGAGAGAGAGGGUUUAGGCUUCUAGCACUCGCACUGGUAGUGAGAAACUAUUGGCUUUGUUGUGAUUCGUGAAAAACGUACCUAUAACUUUCUCUAACUAGGCUGGGGGUUGGGGAAACGAGCCUUAGAUGCACUAUGCAUAAAUAUUAUAUUUUCAUCACACAUGCAUAUACUGCAAAAUCUUUGACAACCAUGGUUUUGAGAAUUCACAUAUGAAAAAUCCAAACUUUUAAUAUAUAAUGAUUCAGGGGUGUGUUCUUAAGUAAGUGAAUACAACGAUAUUGCCCCUCCCUCUUCUCUCCCCAGUAUACCACAUGGUGGACAUGAGUGCCAGGGCAGAUAAAAGAGAAUCUAUUUCAAUGAUCAGAGGCCUAGGGUCCAAAAUACUGUGUUCUUAAACACUAUAUUCAUGUAUUAAAAAAUAUUGAAUUUUGUGAAAGAAGAGAAAAUGGGAUACAAAAAAAAAUUACUAUUAUCCAAAAUUAAAUCCAUCAUUAAGAGACAAAACCUGCCACCAGUGAACAUGAUCAGUCUGGUUCAAAUAAGAGAUUGAUUACUAAUAAUUAAAAAUAUAUCUCCAUAAUAGAUUUUCACUUUGGUUUCUCUGAAGCAUUAGUUUUGUUUCCAAUCUGAAUAUUUCAUUAUGACAUCUUACACCAGGGCUUCCCUGAUUCUAUUCCUUAGGAUUUAUUCUUUGUCAUAUAGGCUUUAGAAACUAGAACCUUAGUGAAACUGAGGUCCCUUUGAUCUUUCAUAGUCCUCACCUUACCUUUUCUUUCCACCUUGGGUUUCACCAUCUGAGUAGUUUCAGACAACCCACCAAUCAACCAGAAACAAGUUCAAAUAUAAUUGUGACAAAUGCAAGGUUUGGAAACCCUCCUGGUAAUUGACAUUGAAAGAGACUUAAAGCUUCUUACAGAAUCAAGACUAUUGUAAUGCAGCAUGUAUUGGAAUACCAACUCCAUAACUGUCCACUUUAAUUCAGAAUUGCGGAGUCCACUGCACAUUCUGAAUUACUUUUAAUACAAAUAUGUUUUUACCUACUAUGACAAAACUUACUUGAUAAUAAGUUCUCCAGCUUGCACAAUAUGGUGAAGAAAUCCCAGAACUUGCUCAACAGUUUUCAACUCAUCUGGAUAAAACAUAACUUUCUGCAUUUCAGCAUGUGACCUCUAUAAAAGGAAAUGGUGCUUUAUCUCUAGUGUGACUGCUGCAUGAACAUUCUCCUGCACCCAGGUGCUUGUUCAUAAAAAGUGAAACACCCAGAAUUCUUCCAGUAAAGUAUCUGUCUUGUUUGAAGCCUGUCUGAGAAGGUGCAUCACUAGGAAUGCUUCACAGGCUUUGUUAUGAUACAAUUGCAUUUUUAACACACCCCUGUGCGUAAAGGUCUCUGCUUCAUUGAGUGUCUGGGCUCCAUACUGGGACAGGUCAACAACAUCCCUGAAGUCCUGAACCAGCCAGUCUCAGAAAAUGGGCCAGCUCCUUACUACUCCCACACAAUGUAAGAGCUUGUUUCCAAAGAGCAGAGAAAAUGGACUAAGAUCCACAGGAGGGAUGACAGAUGGAUUCUGUCGCAUUGCCAGAGACAUGAAAUUGCAGAUGACCCCUAAAAAUCUACAUCCUCUAUAAAUCCAUCUAGAUUGAUCAGAAAGAGAUUAAUGAUUUUUACUGGACCCAAUUUAUCUCAACCUCGAAGUUUAAGCUCUACUCGUCUUAUUCUUCAACCCCCAGCAAAAAAUUUGCAAUUGACUUCUUUCCAACUUGCAGAUGACCAGAAUAUCCUGUGAAUAAUUCUAUUGCCCCUGGAUGCAUCUGUGCAACAUUCUUAUUCUGUUUUAUACAGUAGUCCCCUUAUCCACAGCUUCUCUGUCCAUGGUUUCAGCUACCUGUGGUAGACUGUGAUCUGAAAAUACUAAAUAAAAAUGUUCAGAAAGGAAUAAUUUAUAAGUUU
Pan troglodytes (chimpanzee) is the source of this 2688-nucleotide long non-coding RNA. RefSeq lists it as uncharacterized. The transcript has 5 exons. Lineage: Eukaryota; Metazoa; Chordata; Mammalia; Primates; Hominidae. The record is from RefSeq and is a predicted model, not a curated record.